UUCUUACAUCGAGAGUUGGGGUGACGCUCCAACGCCAACCUGCCGUUCCGGGCAAGGUGGUGCUUGAACCAGGUGACUGGAACAAGGAUGUGGCCGAUCGGGCAACGAAACGGACACAG
This 119-nucleotide non-coding RNA is filed under the name Novosphingobium sp. CECT 9465. Its description in RNAcentral is "SAM-I-IV-variant". It matches the Rfam family "SAM-I/IV (S-adenosyl methionine) riboswitch aptamer". Rfam says of the family: It is found upstream of a number of genes which code for proteins involved in methionine or cysteine biosynthesis. It has been found mostly in the order Actinomycetales. Lineage: Bacteria; Pseudomonadati; Pseudomonadota; Alphaproteobacteria; Sphingomonadales; Sphingomonadaceae. The record is from RNAcentral.